CCUACGGGAGGCAGCAGUGGGGAAUAUUGGUCAAUGGACGCAAGCCUGACCCAGCAACGCCGCGUGAAGGAAGAAGGCUUUCUGAGUUUAAACUUGUUUUCUCAGGGACGAAGAAAGUGACGGUACCUUAGGACUAAGCCACGGCUAACUACGUGCCAGCAGCCGCGGUAAUCCGUAGGUGGCAAGCGUUAUCCGGAUUUAUAGGGUUUAAAGGGUGUGUGGGCGGGAGGGUAAGUCAGAUGUGAAAACUCAGGGCUCAACCCUGAGCUUGGCUUUGAAACUGUGUUUCUUGAGUGCUGGUGCGGCAAUCGGAAUUCAGUGUGUAGCGGUGAAAUGCGUAGAGAUA
Molecule: ribosomal RNA, 346 nt
Filed under: uncultured bacterium
Lineage: Bacteria
Description: partial 16S ribosomal RNA
Rfam family: Bacterial small subunit ribosomal RNA
Source: RNAcentral